RNAcentral lists this unclassified non-coding RNA (283 nucleotides) under uncultured Inocybe. RNAcentral describes it as "sequence contains ITS2". The stretch from base 1 to 52 matches the Rfam family "5.8S ribosomal RNA", at positions 103 to 154 of the family's 154-position model. Lineage: Eukaryota; Fungi; Basidiomycota; Agaricomycetes; Agaricales; Cortinariaceae. The record is from RNAcentral.
AACGCAUCUUGCGCUCCUUGGUAUUCCGAGGAGCAUGCCUGUUUGAGUGUCAUUUGACUUCUCUCAACCACAUCGAAAUUGAUGUGCGCUUGGAUGUGGGGGUUUUGCAGGCUUUCUUUUCUAAUGAAAGCUGGCUCCCCUGAAAUGCAUUAGUGGUGAUCUGAGCUGCUAUUGGUGUGAUAAAUCUAUCUAUGCCUUUGGUAAUGCUGGUCAGCACCGCUUAUAACAACAAACAUUUGACAAAUUUGACCUCAAAUCAGGUAGGACUACCCGCUGAACUUAA